AACUUGUAACGGCUCUGUCUGACACCGCUACAAGUUUAGCUGCGCCAAGAGCCAGGGUGAACAGAAAGACCACAGCCAGGUAGAGACGUGUUUGUUUACAAACUGCUGGUUGACAUGGAGAAUUUCUCAGUGAGUGACGUAGACAGGUGUAUCAUAAUGGGACCCAGUGUCCUGUUUCCUCAGUCAUGUCCAGCAAGAAGAUUACCAGUGUGAUCCCUGGUGGUGGCCGAUGGUCUUUUCUCCAUGGAGUUCCACCUGAAAGUUCACAAGUAUUCACCAGUGACAAGGGCAUUCUUUGAGAUCUUUGGUUCAAAAAGUCUGGUGAAACUCUGGACUAGACUGCAGUGGCUGUUGAACCCUCACCUCCUCACAGAGAUAAUGAACACGGAAACUUACAUAACUGGAAAAAAAAAUAAAGCCAGAUCAGAGAGUCUAAGGUUUGAGAGAGAUUACUCUUCUACUAGUUUCUUCUUAAAACAGCAGUACACGCUGUAAUUCAAUGACUUUUCUGCCUGUGUUUGGUCGACAGCAAGACAUUUUCUGCCCACUGACCAUUUAAAAAAUGUCUGAGAUUGUUAUCAGUGUCAACCAUUUUUAAUAUUUCACUGGCACUUCUUUUUCACCAUCCUUCAGCCUACCGUUAUAGCACAAAUGUUAAUCUCAACCCUGCUGUUUGAAAACCACUGUAUGAACUACAGUAAUUUGGCACAUUGAUGUCAUAAUGAAUCAAACGAAUGCUCUCAGAAUAAUACUGAUGUUGAUCAGAGGCUUCAUAAAUGAAUAUCCGCAAUUAGUCCCACAUCAAUAUUUAACACAUUCAGCAAUGUUUCUCAUUUAUGGGUAAUUUUGGUUGACAAAGUAGAUAGACAGAGUCAGGAUGGUUGAUAUGAUGAUUCCCUGCCCAGGCCACUCAGCAAGUUGACAUGGGGUUUGUGUACAUCCAGUGACUCACAGUACAAGCAAUUCAAGUUGUAUUUGUAGGAGAUACGUUUCAGUUUGUCCUGUGGUGACACAGUGAUUGUAGCCUAGCAGCAGCAGCAGCAGCCGUCGUCUACCAAUCAGCAGACGUUUGCCCUCCUUUCUUCUAACCUGGAUCUAACCUAGAUCUUCCCAGAACUGUCAUCCUAAUCCCCAUCCUCUGCACUCUGUAAUCACAGCCUUACAUAAACAGCACCUCAGAAGCAGGAACAAAUCCCAAAUUUUCUUGACCCCAAAUCUUUGCAAGUAAACAAAAAGAUCCACAGUGCAGCACACGGCUGUCUGUUGGUGUUGUCAGAACAUGUGGGCAUAUGGGUUUUUACGGGCCUGUUUCUAUAGAGCAUUGUUUAUCCUAAAGGUUGCCGUCUGUGUCGGUUUAGUUCUGCUAUUUGUCUCGCUUCACUCUGCUGUGAGAGAUUCCAGCUGCGCAGAGAAAACUCUUUAGUGCUAACAAGCUGAACCACAACACAAAUGGCAACUAAUCCAAAUGUCAACAGCUUUUUCCCAAAUGUCUGAAUCGGUGAUUGGUUGAUCUUUGCUCGAACUUGCCUGCUGUCAUUCAUAAGAAAUAUUAUUACUUUGGCUGAAAGCACAACGACCUCAUGGGUCUCGGUGAAGUCAUAGUUUUAUUACUUCCUAGCUGCAUUUUCAUCCGUAAUUUAUUUGACAGAGAAACUAAUUUUCCUUCUAAACAAACACAGUACAGUGUGUUGCAAUUUUUUUUUUUGCCUUGGUAUUCAGAUGAACUGUUAGACUUUAUAGAUCAAAUGUAUCUUUGUGCUCGACAUGAAGGUAAAAAAUGGAUAUUGAUAAAUGAGGUACGAGUUCUCAGUUGUUGAGAGCAUUUGCAAUUUAUAAUUUGUCCACCAUUUUCAGCAGCGAUGGUC
This is a long non-coding RNA of Cynoglossus semilaevis (tongue sole), 1865 nucleotides long. RefSeq lists it as uncharacterized. Lineage: Eukaryota; Metazoa; Chordata; Actinopteri; Pleuronectiformes; Cynoglossidae. The transcript has 4 exons. The record is from RefSeq and is a predicted model, not a curated record.